This 1485-nucleotide ribosomal RNA is filed under the name Cutibacterium acnes PA2. RNAcentral's name for it is "bacterial LSU rRNA". It matches the Rfam family "Bacterial large subunit ribosomal RNA", at positions 1463 to 2925 of the family's 2925-position model. Lineage: Bacteria; Bacillati; Actinomycetota; Actinomycetes; Propionibacteriales; Propionibacteriaceae. The record is from RNAcentral.
UGCGGAGGGACGCAGUGAGGUAGCUCAUCCCCGGUGAUGGUUGUCCGGGGCUAAGUGUGUGGACUGUCUGGUAGGUAAAUCCGCUGGGCGUGAAGGUUGAGGCAUGAUGGGGAGCCCAUGGUUGUGGGUGAGUGAGUGAUCCUGUACUGUCGAGAAAAGCUUCGUGAGCGAGGUGGCGGGUCCGCCCGUACCCUAAACCGACACUGGUGGAUAGGUAGAGUAUACCGAGGCGAUCGAGUGAAUCGUGGUGAAGGAACUCGGCAAAAUGCCCCCGUAACUUUGGGAUAAGGGGGACCUGAGCUGUCGUGCACCCGUGCGGUGUGGUGGCGGUGAGGGGCGCAGAGUCCAGGGGGAAACGACUGUUUACCAAAAACACAGGUCCGUGCGAAGUCGUAAGACGAUGUAUACGGACUGACUCCUGCCCGGUGCUGGAAGGUUAAGGGGAACUGUGAGUGUAUGCGUAGCGGUGAACUUAAGCCCCAGUAAACGGCGGUGGUAACUAUAACCAUCCUAAGGUAGCGAAAUUCCUUGUCGGGUAAGUUCCGACCUGCACGAAUGGAGUAACGAUUUCCCUACUGUCUCCACCAUGAACUCGGUGAAAUUGCAUUACGAGUAAAGAUGCUCGUUACGCGCAGCAGGACGGAAAGACCCCGGGACCUUUACUAUAGUUUGGUAUUGGUGAUUGGGACGGUUUGUGUAGGAUAGGUGGGAGACGUUGAUGCGGCCACGCUAGUGGUGGUGGAGUCGUUGGUGAAAUACCACUCUGAUUGUUCUGGUUAUCUCACUGUGGACCGUGAUCCGGUUCAAGGACAGUGCCUGAUGGGUAGUUUGACUGGGGCGGUCGCCUCCUAAAGGGUAACGGAGGCGCCCAAAGGUUCCCUCAGCCUGGUUGGUAAUCAGGUGGUGAGUGUAAGUGCACAAGGGGGCUUGACUGUGAGACUGACAGGUCGAGCAGGGACGAAAGUCGGGACUAGUGAUCUGACGGUGGCUUGUGGAUGCGCCGUCACUCAACGGAUAAAAGGUACCCCGGGGAUAACAGGCUGAUCUUGCCCGAGCGCUCAUAGCGACGGCAUGGUUUGGCACCUCGAUGUCGGCUCGUCGCAUCCUGGGGCUGGAGUCGGUCCCAAGGGUUGGGCUGUUCGCCCAUUAAAGCGGCACGCGAGCUGGGUUCAGAACGUCGUGAGACAGUUCGGUCCCUAUCCGCUGCGCGCGGAGGAAUCUUGAGAAGGGCUGUCUUUAGUACGAGAGGACCGAGACGGACUGACCUCUGGUGUGCCAGUUGUUCUGCCAAGAGCAUGGCUGGUUGGCUACGUCGGGUUGUGAUAACCGCUGAAAGCAUCUAAGCGGGAAGCACGCUUCAAGAUAAGGGUUCCCACAGGAGUGUUCCUGGUAAGGUCCCCGAGAGAUGAUCGGGUUGAUAGGCCAGACGUGGACGCAUCGUAAGGUGUGGAGCUGACUGGUACUAAUAGACCGAGGACUUUCAUU